AUCAAUAUCAAACGAAAGAAUACGUGAAAAUUCAAGAGAAAACCCCAGCCAGAGGACACGUCACACCUCUACACCUCGUGUGGGUUUUGAGACUCUUGAGACUCAGAUCGAUUUAUCACUGCUUCCGUCUCUGUGGCUCUCACUGUGAGAGAGAGAGAGAGGCCAUCUAACUGUUAAGAGAGAAAUGGGAGAGGCCCGAGGAGGGUGUUGCCCGCCGAUGUAUAUGUUCAGGUCGGAGCCGAUGCAGCUGGUCCAGCUCAUUGUGCCCAUCGAGUCCGCUCACGUCACCGCCUCCUACGUCGGCGACGUUGGCCUCCUCCAAUUCAAAGACCUGAAUGCGGAGAAGAGUCCAUUUCAGCGGACUUAUGCUGCUCAGAUUAAAAAAUGUGGGGAGAUGGCACGUAAAUUACGCUUUUUCAAGGAACAAAUGCUGAAGGCAGGCUUUUGCUCAAAAAAGUCUACAGCACAAGUUGAUAUCAAUUUGGAUGAUUUAGAGGUAAAACUAGGUGAACUUGAGGCAGAGCUGGUGGAAAUAAAUGCAAAUGGUGAGAAGUUGCAACGCGCUUAUAAUGAAUUAGUGGAAUAUAAGCUUGUUUUGGAGAAGGCUGGCGAGUUUUUUCACACAGCUCUCAGCAGUGCCACAGAACAACAGAUGGAGUAUGAAUCCAGCCAGACUCAUGAAGAAUCCUUGGAUACACCUUUAUUAUUGGAUCAAGAAAUGUCAACUGAUUCAUCCAAGCAAGUUAAGUUGGGCUUCAUCACAGGCCUUGUUCCUAGGGAAAAGUCUAUGGCAUUUGAGAAGAUUAUUUUUCGUGCUACUAGGGGUAAUGUGUUUAUAAGGCAAGUUGUAGUUGAGGACCCUGUGACAGAUCCUGUUACGGGAGAGAAGAUUGAGAAGAAUGUAUUUGUGGUUUUCUACUCCGGAGAAAGAGCAAAGAACAAGAUUCUUAAAAUAUGUGAAGCUUUUGGAGCAAAUCGUUAUCCUUUUAGUGAGGACUUGGGUAAACAAGCUCAAAUGAUCACCGAGGUUUCAGGAAGACUCUCAGAGCUGAAGGCUACUAUAGAUAUUGGGCUGCUGCAACGAAACAAUUUGUUGCAAACUAUUGGAGAUCAUUUUGAGCAGUGGGACAUCUUGGUGAGAAAGGAGAAAUCUAUAUAUCACACCCUGAAUAUGCUUAGUCUUGAUGUGACAAAAAAGUGUCUUGUUGGUGAGGGUUGGAGUCCUGUUUUUGCAACAAAACAGAUCCAGGAUGCAUUGCAGAGGGCAGCGUUUGACUCUAACUCCCAAGUUGGAGCAAUUUUCCAGGUUUUGCAAACCAAGGAGUUACCGCCUACCUAUUUUCGGACAAACAAGUUUACUUCUCCUUUCCAAGAAAUUGUUGAUGCAUACGGGGUGGCUAAAUAUCAAGAAGCAAAUCCUACUGUAUACACCAUCGUAACAUUUCCAUUUCUUUUUGCUGUCAUGUUUGGUGAUUGGGGGCAUGGACUAUGCCUGUUAUUCGCAACAUUAUUUCUAAUAGCCAGGGAGAGGAGAUAUUCAAGUCAGAAGCUUGGAGACAUUAUGGAAAUGAUGUUCGGUGGUCGUUACUGUAUUUUGAUGAUGGCACUCUUCUCAAUCUACACAGGCUUGAUCUAUAAUGAAUUCUUCUCUGUCCCAUUUGAGCUUUUUGGCCCUUCAGCCUAUGCUUGCCGUGACCUUUCCUGCAUAGAUGCCACUACGGUGGGCUUGAUUAAGGUGCUCCCCACUUACCCAUUUGGUGUAGAUCCUGCAUGGCAUGGUACCCGUAGUGAGCUACCAUUCCUGAACUCUUUGAAGAUGAAGAUGUCAAUCCUUCUUGGGGUAGCUCAGAUGAACCUGGGAAUCAUAUUAAGCUAUUGUAAUGCCAAAUUCUUUCGGAAUAGACUGAAUGUCUGGUUCCAAUUCGUUCCCCAGAUGAUUUUUUUAAACAGUUUGUUUGGCUACUUGUCCAUUCUCAUCCUUGCGAAGUGGUGCACUGGUUCACAAGCUGAUCUAUACCACGUAAUGAUAUACAUGUUCCUCAGUCCCACCGAUGAUCUGGGCGAAAAUCAGCUUUUUGCUGGCCAGAAGACACUGCAGCUUGUAUUACUAUUACUGGCCCUUGUUGCUGUACCCUGGAUGCUACUCCCAAAGCCUUUUCUUUUGAAGAAGCAACACCAAGAUCGGCUCCGAGGCCACUCAUACACACCACUCCAGGACACAGAGGAUGACACCUUUCGGUUGGAGUCGAACCAUGACUCACAUGGUCAUGAGGAGUUUGAGUUUAGUGAAGUUUUUGUACACCAACUCAUACAUACUAUAGAAUUUGUGCUUGGAUCAGUUUCGAAUACAGCUUCUUACCUUCGUCUAUGGGCCCUAAGCGACAUGCCAUCUCAUCUUCCACAGCAUGGUGAUCCACCUGGCUAAAGUUGUUUCAAAAGAAAUGUGAACCUUUUGAGAGGUCAUACCUAUUGACACAUCAAUUCAUGAAACUUUUUCAUUGAUCUAUUGGAGUCAAGUUUGACUUCUUCCCGUAUAUAGGAUGACAUAUUGGGAGCCUGUACCAAAAACCAAAACUAGCCUGAUCUCAGUUAGACGGAGAUCUUCUGCCUCAUGAAUAUUUGGUCAUGUGAUCCUAUACAGCUAGGCUGCUACCUUCCCAUUGCAUCCUUCCUUGUGUGUUGUCAAUCGUGAAUGAAGGGGAUCUUGAUGUUCCAUUGACACAAAUGGGGAUCCAAUAUGGAGGUGAGACAAACCUGUCAAGGCAGAGCUAUUCGUUUAAGCAACCAUGUGAGCCACCUCCAGGCCAUUUUGAAGGAAUAUGUUGGUCAAAUUUGACAGGAAUUCUUGGUCAAGUAUGGUUUGAAGAAAUAGAACAUUGUACCUCGGACUACGCAUUUGACUAAUUUUACACUAAAAGUUUUGCAGAGGGACAUGUAAAUAAAACAAUUGUUAAAUGAUGAGGCUCAAUGUGCAUAUCCUGGAGUGUGGCAUAUCUCCUUGUAUCUCGAAGAGUGCAUCACAACUCCGAAGAGGGCCUGGCCUACCUUCCUUGUAUUCUCAAAUUAUCCUUGGCCUAAAAAGGGGGGCCUGCCUGGAUAGCUUUUUCCAUAGAUCUAUGUGGAAGUGAUCAAGUUUAUAUUCAGAAAGGUUUUAAACCAGUCUUGCGCACUCGGAGUUGUCAAGUGUAUUCUAUGAUAAACUUCUCCUACUUGCUUGGGGGUACAACAAUAUAAUAAUCCUU
RNA transcript from Juglans regia (Persian walnut), 3242 nucleotides. It is a transcript of the gene named V-type proton ATPase subunit a3-like, with no coding region annotated. Lineage: Eukaryota; Viridiplantae; Streptophyta; Magnoliopsida; Fagales; Juglandaceae. The record is from RefSeq and is a predicted model, not a curated record. The transcript is spliced from 19 exons.